GAUGAACGCUGGCGGCGUGCCUAAUACAUGCAAGUCGAGCGAACAGACGAGGAGCUUGCUCCUCUGACGUUAGCGGCGGACGGGUGAGUAACACGUGGAUAACCUACCUAUAAGACUGGGAUAACUUCGGGAAACCGGAGCUAAUACCGGAUAAUAUAUUGAACCGCAUGGUUCAAUAGUGAAAGACGGUUUUGCUGUCACUUAUAGAUGGAUCCGCGCCGCAUUAGCUAGUUGGUAAGGUAGCGGCUUACCAAGGCAACGAUGCGUAGCCGACCUGAGAGGGUGAUCGGCCACACUGGAACUGAGACACGGUCCAGACUCCUACGGGAGGCAGCAGUAGGGAAUCUUCCGCAAUGGGCGAAAGCCUGACGGAGCAACGCCGCGCGAGUGAUGAAGGUCUUCGGAUCGUAAAACUCUGUUAUUAGGGAAGAACAAAUGUGUAAGUAACUAUGCACGUCUUGACGGUACCUAAUCAGAAAGCCACGGCUAACUACGUG
RNAcentral lists this ribosomal RNA (497 nucleotides) under uncultured bacterium. RNAcentral describes it as "partial 16S ribosomal RNA". It matches the Rfam family "Bacterial small subunit ribosomal RNA", at positions 28 to 507 of the family's 1533-position model. The record is from RNAcentral.